RNAcentral lists this ribosomal RNA (513 nucleotides) under uncultured bacterium. Its description in RNAcentral is "partial 16S ribosomal RNA". It matches the Rfam family "Bacterial small subunit ribosomal RNA", at positions 28 to 507 of the family's 1533-position model. The record is from RNAcentral.
GACGAACGCUGGCGGCGUGCUUAACACAUGCAAGUCGAACGAAAAGAGGGAAAGAGCUUGCUCUUUCCGGAAUUGAGUGGCAAACGGGUGAGUAACACGUAAACAACCUGCCUUCAGGAUGGGGACAACAGACGGAAACGACUGCUAAUACCGAAUAAGUUCCAAGGGCCGCAUGGCCCAUGGAAGAAAAGGUGGCCUCUACCUGUAAGCUAUCGCCUGAAGAGGGGUUUGCGUCUGAUUAGCUGGUUGGAGGGGUAACGGCCCACCAAGGCGACGAUCAGUCGCCGGUCUGAGAGGAUGAACGGCCACACUGGAACUGAGACACGGUCCAGACUCCUACGGGAGGCAGCAGUGGGGAAUCUUCCGCAAUGGGCGAAAGCCUGACGGAGCAACGCCGCGUGAGUGAUGACGGCCUUCGGGUUGUAAAACUCUGUGAUCCGGGACGAAAAGGCAGAGUGCGAAGAACAAACUGCAUUGACGGUACCGGAAAAGCAAGCCACGGCUAACUACGUG